RNAcentral lists this ribosomal RNA (516 nucleotides) under fungal endophyte sp. D1-1A1-1-2. RNAcentral describes it as "eukaryotic LSU rRNA". The stretch from base 149 to 302 matches the Rfam family "5.8S ribosomal RNA". The record is from RNAcentral. Lineage: Eukaryota; Fungi.
GAUCAUUACCUAGAGUUGUAGGCUUUGCCUGCUAUCUCUUACCCAUGUCUUUUAAGUACCUUACGUUUCCUCGGCGGGUCCGCCCGCCGAUUGGACAAUUUAAACCAUUUGCAGUUGCAAUCAGCGUCUGAAAAAACUUAAUAGUUACAACUUUCAACAACGGAUCUCUUGGUUCUGGCAUCGAUGAAGAACGCAGCGAAAUGCGAUAAGUAGUGUGAAUUGCAGAAUUCAGUGAAUCAUCGAAUCUUUGAACGCACAUUGCGCCCCUUGGUAUUCCAUGGGGCAUGCCUGUUCGAGCGUCAUUUGUACCUUCAAGCUCUGCUUGGUGUUGGGUGUUUGUCUCGCCUCUGCGUGUAGACUCGCCUCAAAACAAUUGGCAGCCGGCGUAUUGAUUUCGGAGCGCAGUACAUCUCGCGCUUUGCACUCAUAACGACGACGUCCAAAAGUACAUUUUUACACUCUUGACCUCGGAUCAGGUAGGGAUACCCGCUGAACUUAAGCAUAUCAAUAANCGGA